UCCGUAGGGUGCAAGCGUUAAUCGGAAUUACUGGGCGUAAAGCGUGCGCAGGCGGUGAUGUAAGACAGUUGUGAAAUCCCCGGGCUCAACCUGGGAACUGCAUCUGUGACUGCAUAGCUAGAGUACGGUAGAGGGGGAUGGAAUUCCGCGUGUAGCAGUGAAAUGCGUAGAUAUGCGGAGGAACACCGAUGGCGAAGGCAAUCCCCUGGACCUGUACUGACGCUCAUGCACGAAAGCGUGGGGAGCAAACAGG
Molecule: ribosomal RNA, 253 nt
Filed under: uncultured bacterium
Lineage: Bacteria
Description: partial 16S ribosomal RNA
Rfam family: Bacterial small subunit ribosomal RNA
Source: RNAcentral